This 468-nucleotide ribosomal RNA is filed under the name uncultured bacterium. RNAcentral's name for it is "partial 16S ribosomal RNA". It matches the Rfam family "Bacterial small subunit ribosomal RNA", at positions 28 to 507 of the family's 1533-position model. The record is from RNAcentral.
GACGAACGCUGGCGGCGUGCUUAACACAUGCAAGUCGAACGGAAAGGCCCUGCUUUUGUGGGGUGCUCGAGUGGCGAACGGGUGAGUAACACGUGAGUAACCUGCCCUUGACUUUGGGAUAACUUCAGGAAACUGGGGCUAAUACCGGAUAGGAGCUCCUGCUGCAUGGUGGGGGUUGGAAAGUUUCGGCGGUUGGGGAUGGACUCGCGGCUUAUCAGCUUGUUGGUGGGGUAGUGGCUUACCAAGGCUUUGACGGGUAGCCGGCCUGAGAGGGUGACCGGCCACAUUGGGACUGAGAGACGGCCCAGAAUCCUACGGGAGGCAGCAGUGGGGAAUAUUGCACAAUGGGCGGAAGCCUGAUGCAGCAACGCCGCGUGCGGGAUGACGGCCUUCGGGUUGUAAACCGCUGUCGCCUGUGACGAAGCGUGCGUGACGGUAAUGGGUAAAGAAGCACCGGCUAACUACGUG